RNAcentral lists this ribosomal RNA (253 nucleotides) under uncultured bacterium. Its description in RNAcentral is "partial 16S ribosomal RNA". It matches the Rfam family "Bacterial small subunit ribosomal RNA", at positions 524 to 776 of the family's 1533-position model. The record is from RNAcentral.
UACAGAGGUCCCAAGCGUUGUUCGGAUUCACUGGGCGUAAAGGGUGCGUAGGUGGUCGGGUAAGUCUGAGGUGAAAUCUCCGAGCUCAACUCGGAAACUGCCUUGGAUACUAUCCAGCUUGAGGGUUGGAGGGGGGACUGGAAUUCUCGGUGUAGCAGUGAAAUGCGUAGAUAUCGAGAGGAACACCAGUGGCGAAGGCGAGUCCCUGGACAACUCCUGACGCUGAGGCACGAAAGCUAGGGGAGCAAACAGG